UUUUUAAUUAAUUAAUUUAUUCAUUUGCAAUGAGGCCAAUGAUAUUUAUUUCCGGUUCACAGAAGGAGAACUGAGACACCAGGAGAUGAAAUGGACCUAACUACAGUGACCAAGGCUGUGGUGGUGAUUAGCUAGCUGGCUGUUUCUCUUGACUCUUCUGCUUCAAAUAGAAAGGAGGUG
Molecule: long non-coding RNA, 180 nt
Filed under: Anser brachyrhynchus (Pink-footed goose)
Lineage: Eukaryota; Metazoa; Chordata; Aves; Anseriformes; Anatidae
Description: lncRNA (ENSABRG00000012600.1)
Source: RNAcentral